CAAUAGGCAUAGUAACAUAGAUUACAAAUUCGAUGGGAAACUAUUAAGACAGUUGUGUGCAUGGCAAUAAAAAUAUCUUUUCUGACUACUUCAUUAAGAGCAGACCAUGAGGACAGUGGGGUGGGGGGCGGGAGGCAGGAAGGGAGCAAGAGUGGAAACAUAGAAUCCCUUUAGAAAGCUUUUUGUAGUUGUCACUAAAAAAUUCCCCAGCUCUGUGGAGCCAGAAUCUCCCAGUCUUCUGGUUAUUCAUAAAUGAAGAAUCUUUUAGCAGAUUUAUAUGACUUCGGUCAGAGUUGUCUGAAAGUAGGCAUCUGAUAGUAAUGGCAUGAAUCCAAAAAAUCUACGGCCGAAGAUGACUGAGAAAACUCAUACGUCUUAUUUUAAGAUCACUGAUCCAGUUAGAAAUCAUAUGUCUUUACGGUAUGAAAUAUAAGUCAAGGGACCUGUUUUAUGACCCAGCAUAUCGGUAAAUUGGAUCUUAACCUGAAUAGCUCUCCACCACCUCCAAGUAGAUGGUUAUCAUAUUUCAUCCAUCUUUCCUAGCUACUUGCGGCAGAAGCAUUGUCUGCCACAAGCAUGGGUGCCCCUAAGUGGAAGUCUCCAAAGUAACCAUUCACUUACUUUAAAAAUGGGCCCCUUAAGGAACUUAAGUAUAAUGUUUUGAUUGUCAGGAAAUACACACUAAGCCAGCAACUCAGAGAGGAUACAAUCUGGGCUUCCACAUUACUUCUAAUUCCUUGUAUUGUAUCAUAACUAAUGUAUGUCUAUCAUUUCUUAAAGAUCAUAUAAAGUUUGUGAAAAAAUAAAAUUAAUAAAAUACCAUGUUUGCUCAUUGAGUUUUAGAAAAUUUUUUAGAAACAUUUAAAACAACUUUUUAAAAUGCUUAAUUAAAUGGAGAGUUUUAAAUGUACUUAAUAAAGAUAUCUUUUUUCUGACAUAUACAAGUAUGUAAGGAAUAAGACUGACUUGAAGCAUCACAGUGACAUAAGAAA
This 992-nucleotide long non-coding RNA is filed under the name Homo sapiens (human). Its description in RNAcentral is "HSALNT0031961". Lineage: Eukaryota; Metazoa; Chordata; Mammalia; Primates; Hominidae. The record is from RNAcentral.